Molecule: ribosomal RNA, 727 nt
Filed under: Streptomyces sp.
Lineage: Bacteria; Bacillati; Actinomycetota; Actinomycetes; Kitasatosporales; Streptomycetaceae
Description: bacterial SSU rRNA
Rfam family: Bacterial small subunit ribosomal RNA
Source: RNAcentral
UCUGGGACAAGCCCUGGAAACGGGGUCUAAUACCGGAUAAUACUUUUUCCUGCAUGGGAAAGGGUAGAAAGCUCCGGCGGUGAAGGAUGAGCCCGCGGCCUAUCAGCUUGUUGGUGGGGUGAUGGCCUACCAAGGCGACGACGGGUAGCCGGCCUGAGAGGGCGACCGGCCACACUGGGACUGAGACACGGCCCAGACUCCUACGGGAGGCAGCAGUGGGGAAUAUUGCACAAUGGGCGAAAGCCUGAUGCAGCGACGCCGCGUGAGGGAUGACGGCCUUCGGGUUGUAAACCUCUUUCAGCAGGGAAGAAGCGAAAGUGACGGUACCUGCAGAAGAAGCGCCGGCUAACUACGUGCCAGCAGCCGCGGUAAUACGUAGGGCGCAAGCGUUGUCCGGAAUUAUUGGGCGUAAAGAGCUCGUAGGCGGCUUGUCACGUCGGAUGUGAAAGCCCGGGGCUUAACCCCGGGUCUGCAUUCGAUACGGGCAGGCUAGAGUGUGGUAGGGGAGAUCGGAAUUCCUGGUGUAGCGGUGAAAUGCGCAGAUAUCAGGAGGAACACCGGUGGCGAAGGCGGAUCUCUGGGCCAUUACUGACGCUGAGGAGCGAAAGCGUGGGGAGCGAACAGGAUUAGAUACCCUGGUAGUCCACGCCGUAAACGUUGGGAACUAGGUGUUGGCGACAUUCCACGUCGUCGGUGCCGCAGCUAACGCAUUAAGUUCCCCGCCUGG